CAAUGAACCCCCAAUAACACAUAGCCUUCUUCUGUUAAAGACCACCAGAAUACACAACUUCUUAAAAAAGAAAAGCUAAAUGAGAGAUUCACCAAGGAUAGAGGCUUUUCCAUUCACAUAAUCAUCAGAAUGGAGCAGGGGAGGGUGGCUUUGGACAGAAAAGCUGAGACCUGCUGAUUUAUAUGAUUUAUAUCAAAUAAAGCCCGAGGUAAAUCAGUGACUUGACCAGCCACAGAGCUUAAUAGAGCCUGAGUUAGGACCCAGACUUCAUUAGGGACCCAAGGGCAGGAGUUCCUUUUAAUCUUUCCCGGCUUCAGAGUGAAUACAAAAAAUACAUAAGGAUGCAUCUCAACAUCUUUGAAUAUUUAUAGGUCCCUACACUGAAUUUUCAAGGCCCAAGAUAAAAAUCACAUAGCGGCCCAGGUCCAGACCCAGGCCCAGCCAGCCAUAUGAGUGAGCCCAGAACAGCAAAGAACUGCCCAGUCGAGUCACUGCUGCUGAAAACCACUAAAUUUUGGAGUGUCUUGUUACACAACAAUAGUAACUGUUGUCCCACCACUACACAGAUGCCAUCACAACAUCCAAAUUCUGCCUUCUGACGUGGUGAAAAAUUUCCCUUUUGAAUAUUUCAAUAGACUUUAAAAGAAAAUGAACUACCAGUUAAACUGAAUGUUUAAUACAUUUGUAGGAACAGAAGAAAUGCAGUAAGGAUUAAAAUUUUAUAAUUAGACAUUAAUGUAACAGAUGUUUCAUUUUUCAAAGAAGUUUCCCCCUUUUCCCUAUCUUUUUAA
This is a long non-coding RNA of Gorilla gorilla gorilla (western lowland gorilla), 791 nucleotides long. RefSeq lists it as uncharacterized. Lineage: Eukaryota; Metazoa; Chordata; Mammalia; Primates; Hominidae. The transcript has 2 exons. The record is from RefSeq and is a predicted model, not a curated record.